CACUUCAGCCAAAGAGGGUAAAACAGUAAAAACAUAACUUUUAUUCCCACCCCAAUAAUUCCACGGUUGUACACCAAUGUUAUAAAUUUAUGCGACUGUCCAGAAAUUUUUAACAAAAGAGCUGUGUGGGUUAGGAGAAGGUAUUUCCAUUCUCUAAUUAAGCGAUAAUCAGAUCCAAACUCUUAACCCUAGAAAAUCAACCAUGUCUUCUAAGCAAGGUGGAAAGGCAAAGCCUUUGAAGGCCCCAAAGAGUGAAAAGAAGGAAUACGACGAGAAUGACAAGGCUUUCCUUGCAAAGAAGAAGGAAGAGGAAAAGGCACUAAAGGAGCUCAAGGCAAAGGCUGCGAAAGGCUCCAUUGGUGGUGCUGGCCUGAAAAAGAGCGGAAAGAAAUGAGAAUGUUAUAUUCUUCCUCCUAGUAUUGGGAUCUUCUUUUCUCGCCCAUGGCUAGAUUUGGUGUUAUAAGCUUUUGUUAACUUUUGGGAUGUCUCUAUGGUGACUCAAUGAAUUAGUAUGGGGUACUUGCUCCUUUCCAAUAUAAUGACUUGUAUUGUGGUGCCUUUCCCUAUCAAUAAUUCAUAUAGUCGUUAAUCUUUGUGUGA
Long non-coding RNA from Nicotiana attenuata, 600 nucleotides. RefSeq lists it as uncharacterized. The transcript has 4 exons. Lineage: Eukaryota; Viridiplantae; Streptophyta; Magnoliopsida; Solanales; Solanaceae. The record is from RefSeq and is a predicted model, not a curated record.